Molecule: small nuclear RNA, 161 nt
Organism: Trifolium pratense (red clover)
Lineage: Eukaryota; Viridiplantae; Streptophyta; Magnoliopsida; Fabales; Fabaceae
Product: U1 spliceosomal RNA
Exons: 1
Source: RefSeq, a predicted model, not a curated record
AUACUUACCUGGAUGGGGUCAAUGGGUUAUCAUGAAGACCCAUGGCCUAAGAAGGUGACCUCCAUUGCACUUAGGAGGGGUGUCUUCUUAAGGUCUACCCAAGUGGUGGAGCCUGCAUCAUAAUUUGUUGCUGAGGGGGCCUGCGUUCGCGCGGCCUCCAC